This 289-nucleotide unclassified non-coding RNA is filed under the name Hevea brasiliensis (rubber tree). The record is from RNAcentral. Lineage: Eukaryota; Viridiplantae; Streptophyta; Magnoliopsida; Malpighiales; Euphorbiaceae.
GAAAAAUGGUGAAGAUCAACUAUCAAAAUCACUCCAAAAGCAGGCAGCAGCAUGGGUAACGGCCAUUUUCCAAAGGAGAAGAGCCAUCCCAAAGAAAUCCAUUGUCUGUUGUUAUAGCAUGCGCGUAAAUUUAAAGUACACACAACUGCACAAUCACACAAUAUAAAUAAUAGAGAAUUUACGUGGUUCGACAGUAAAGUCUAUAUCCACAAGCAAGACAAAAGAAAUAUAAUUAAAAGGUAAGACACACUCAAAACUCUUAAACCCUAAUUCAAUAUUUUCGAAUAUC